UGGGGAAUAUUGCACCAUGGGCGCAAGCCUGAUGCAGCCAUGCCGCGUGUAUGAAGAAGGCCUUCGGGUUGUAAAGUACUUUCAGCGGGGAGGAAGGGAGUAAAGUUAAUACCUUUGCUCAUUGACGUUACCCGCAGAAGAAGCACCGGCUAACUCCGUGCCAGCAGCCUCGGUAAUACGGAGGGUGCAAGCGUUAAUCGGAAUUACUGGGCGUAAAGCGCACGCAGGCGGUUUGUUAAGUCAGAUGUGAAAUCCCCGGGCUCAACCUGGGAACUGCAUCUGAUACUGGCAAGCUUGAGUCUCGUAGAGGGGGGUAGAAUUCCAGGUGUAGCGGUGAAAUGCGUAGAGAUCUGGAGGAAUACCGGUGGCGAAGGCGGCCCCCUGAACGAAGACUGACGCUCAGGUGCGAAAGAGUGGGGAGCAAACAGG
Molecule: ribosomal RNA, 429 nt
Filed under: Chloroflexota bacterium
Lineage: Bacteria; Bacillati; Chloroflexota
Description: Chloroflexi bacterium partial 16S ribosomal RNA
Rfam family: Bacterial small subunit ribosomal RNA
Source: RNAcentral